AGUGGUGCUGAAAUUCUGCUUCAGUCAUAAAAACUUAAAACUGCUACCGGUUUCAGGUUCUUUUAGAGUGACUCCCAGAUUAGUGGAGACACAGCCUGAGUUGAAUAUUAAUAAUUUUAUAUCAAGUCUACUUCGAAAACUGGGCUGGUCAGAUUCAAGGAAUCGACUCUUUUGGAGUCGACUCCUCAUCAGUACUGCGCAUGUGCUUACAAAUCAUCACAUCGACGCGCACGUGGAAGUGAUCGCCGCGGGAAAACUGAGUUUGUCUAGUUCCUCCAUGGUUGUGAGAGGGAAGACAUCAUCCUCGCUGUCCACCACUGGAGCACUGGAACGGUUGUUUGCUGCAAGGGACUGGACCACUGAAGUCAGAUGAUUGAUCUUCAUGUCCAGUUCAUUAAGUGCCUCCAGAAUUGUCCUCUCAACAGCUGCAACACAUUAGAUGGGUGUUCACCCCAAGCAUCUUCUUGCUCAUUUUCAUUGGACAAGCUCACUGGAACAGCUGGAGUUAAA
Carassius gibelio (silver crucian carp) is the source of this 510-nucleotide long non-coding RNA. RefSeq lists it as uncharacterized. The record is from RefSeq and is a predicted model, not a curated record. The transcript is spliced from 3 exons. Lineage: Eukaryota; Metazoa; Chordata; Actinopteri; Cypriniformes; Cyprinidae.